RNAcentral lists this transfer RNA (84 nucleotides) under Candidatus Falkowiibacteriota bacterium. Its description in RNAcentral is "tRNA-Leu". It matches the Rfam family "tRNA". From Rfam's summary of the family: Transfer RNA (tRNA) molecules are approximately 80 nucleotides in length. The record is from RNAcentral. Lineage: Bacteria; Candidatus Falkowiibacteriota.
GCCGGGUUGGUGGAACUGGUAGACACUGGGGACUUAAAAUCCCUUGGGGUAAUUCCCGUGCGGGUUCAAAUCCCGCAUCCGGCA